AGCUAUUUAGCUAUAAAAGUAUUUGCUUUGAAAGCAAAGGAAAAGGAAACUUAAUAGCUU
RNAcentral lists this transfer RNA (60 nucleotides) under Portunion sinensis. RNAcentral describes it as "tRNA-Ser". RNAcentral also lists the same sequence under 1 other name. Lineage: Eukaryota; Metazoa; Arthropoda; Malacostraca; Isopoda; Entoniscidae. The record is from RNAcentral.